This 564-nucleotide ribosomal RNA is filed under the name Alternaria alternata. Its description in RNAcentral is "eukaryotic LSU rRNA". The stretch from base 190 to 343 matches the Rfam family "5.8S ribosomal RNA". Lineage: Eukaryota; Fungi; Ascomycota; Dothideomycetes; Pleosporales; Pleosporaceae. The record is from RNAcentral.
GGUGAACCUGCGGAGGGAUCAUUACACAAAUAUGAAGGCGGGCUGGAACCUCUCGGGGUUACAGCCUUGCUGAAUUAUUCACCCUUGUCUUUUGCGUACUUCUUGUUUCCUUGGUGGGUUCGCCCACCACUAGGACAAACAUAAACCUUUUGUAAUUGCAAUCAGCGUCAGUAACAAAUUAAUAAUUACAACUUUCAACAACGGAUCUCUUGGUUCUGGCAUCGAUGAAGAACGCAGCGAAAUGCGAUAAGUAGUGUGAAUUGCAGAAUUCAGUGAAUCAUCGAAUCUUUGAACGCACAUUGCGCCCUUUGGUAUUCCAAAGGGCAUGCCUGUUCGAGCGUCAUUUGUACCCUCAAGCUUUGCUUGGUGUUGGGCGUCUUGUCUCUAGCUUUGCUGGAGACUCGCCUUAAAGUAAUUGGCAGCCGGCCUACUGGUUUCGGAGCGCAGCACAAGUCGCACUCUCUAUCAGCAAAGGUCUAGCAUCCAUUAAGCCUUUUUUUCAACUUUUGACCUCGGAUCAGGUAGGGAUACCCGCUGAACUUAAGCAUAUCAAUAAGCGGAGGA